Copromyces sp. CBS 386.78 is the source of this 80-nucleotide non-coding RNA. The record is from the annotation of a GenBank genome assembly. NCBI's taxonomy places the organism in Eukaryota, Fungi, Ascomycota, Sordariomycetes, Sordariales, Sordariaceae.
UGAGCACUGCGCUUUGAAAUCGGGAGAGCGUGAGACUAUUAAUCUCAAGGUUGUGGGUUCGACCCCCACGUCGGGCUCAA